RNA transcript from Hevea brasiliensis (rubber tree), 4222 nucleotides. It is a transcript of the gene named histone-lysine N-methyltransferase ATX2, with no coding region annotated. NCBI's taxonomy places the organism in Eukaryota, Viridiplantae, Streptophyta, Magnoliopsida, Malpighiales, Euphorbiaceae. The transcript is spliced from 28 exons. The record is from RefSeq and is a predicted model, not a curated record.
AAAGAAAAGAACACACCAAUGGGAGGACACUCAUGCGAGUAUGCGGUCUCUCUCUUCUCUGGUAACACGGCGGGAAACUGAUAAUUUUGGGGAAAAACCCUCCAAAACCAUCCGAAAUCUAAAUUCCUUAACUUUAAACCCUAACCCUCUCUUCCCUUUUCCAAUUUCCCCAAAUCCCCAAUUGUCAGUUUCACUGCUGAAAUCCACACUCUGAGGAGAGCGAGAGAGCAAAAGAACCUACCAACUCUUUUGCUCUCCCUCUCUCUUCCGCACCCACACCACCUUAAUUUUCCCCUUUCCAUGGCAUUUCUCCAUAAACGCAAAGACCACCACCACAAAUUCCAACGGCCACCGCUUGGGCGCGAGUACGGCGAAGAAGGUGAAGAUAUUAACGUCGAUACCCACACUGACGCGCCCUUGCGAUACGUUUCUUUGGAUCGUGUCUACUCUGCUGCUUCUCUCUGCGUUAGUGCCAGUGGAUCGUCUAACGUUAUGUCCAAGAAGGUUAAAGCCCGGAAACUCAUUGUCCAUGGUAUUGAUGAUCCUCGUCUUGGUAGGCCCCCGAUCCUUUACGUCUACUCUCGUCGAUCUAAGAGACCCCGGCAUUCUACACCAACGCCGUCUUUUUUUGAGUCGUUGAUUCUACGCACUGCUGAAUCGGUGCCUAAACUUGCUGUAAAGACUGAAAUUUGUGGGUUUGAGGACUCGAUUGACAAUGAUUUGAAGAGGAAGGAGAAGAAGAGAAGGAUUGGGCGUAGUGAGUUGGUGAAGUUGGGAGUUGAUUCUAGCGUUUUGGGAGGUGUUGAGAGGCCGCGAUUGAGGGAUUGUCGCAAUCAUAAUGUGAAUAGUAAUAGUGGAACUUUACGGAGAAAGAAUCGUGGUUCUUUACAGAUUUCUGACAAGGUUUUAUCGCUGCCAGCUUCUACUAAAAGAUGGGUCAGGUUGAGUUACGAUGAUGUUGAUCCAAAAAGGUUCAUUGGAUUAUCUUGCAAGGUUUAUUGGCCAUUGGAUGCUGAUUGGUAUUCUGGACGUGUUGUUGGGUACACUUCAGAGACUAAACGGCAUCAUGUUGAAUAUGAAGAUGGAGAUAAAGAGGAUUUGAUUCUUUCAAAUGAGAAAAUAAAAUUUUUUAUUUCUCGGGAGGAGAUGGAGCGGUUGAACUUGACUUUCAGUAUAAAAAAUACAGAUGGUGAUAACUAUGAUUAUGAUGAGAUGGUUGUGUUAGCUGCCGUUUUGGAUGACUGCCAAGAUCUUGAGCCUGGGGAUAUUAUAUGGGCAAAACUUACUGGUCAUGCUAUGUGGCCAGCAAUUGUUGUGGAUGAAUCACUUAUUGGUAAUCGUAAAGGCUUAAACAAAAUUUCUGGAAAAAAAUCAGUGUUUGUGCAAUUCUUUGGCACCCAUGAUUUUGCCAGAAUUAAACCGAAGCAGGUAAUCUCAUUUCUUAAAGGACUUCUUUCGUCUUUUCACCUUAAGUGCAGGAAACCUCAUUUCGCACGAAGCUUGGAAGAAGCAAAAAUGUAUUUGAGUGAGCAAAAGCUUCCAAGAAGAAUGCUACAGCUGCAAAAUAGCAUGAAUGGCGAUGCUAACUGUGACAGUGCGAGCAGUGAGGAUGAGGGGAGUACAGAUUCAGGUGAAGACUGCAGAAGAGAUGAAGGCAUACAAAGGAUAUUGAGAGGCCUUGAAACUUCUCCAUAUGUUAUUGGGGAUUUACAAAUAAUAAGCCUUGGAAAGAUUGUCAAGGACUCAGAAUAUUUCCAGGAUGAUAGAUUUAUCUGGCCUGAAGGAUAUACUGCCUUGCGGAAGUUUACGUCAAUAACAGAUCCAAGCGUUUGUACCAUAUAUAAAAUGGAAGUGUUGAGGGAUGCUGAGUCUAAGAUUCGGCCUCUAUUUAGAGUGACAUUGGAUGAUGGAGAGCAGAUCAAAGGAUCCACUCCAUCCACUUGCUGGGAUAAAAUAUACAGAAGAAUAAGGAAAGUGCAAGAAAGUACUUCCAAUGGUUUUAGUGUUGAAGCUGUAGUAGACAGAUUCUAUGAAUCUGGUUCUGACAUGUUUGGUUUCUCUAAUCCUGAAGUUAUGAAACUUAUAAAGGGAUUAUCAAAAUCCAGACUAUCUUCUAAAAUGUCUUUGUGCAAAUUAACCUCUGAAAGGUAUCAGGACUUACCUGUUGGUUACAGACCUGUUCGUGUUGACUGGAAAGACCUUGAUAAGUGCAGCGUAUGCCAUAUGGAUGAGGAAUAUGAAAACAAUCUGUUCCUGCAGUGUGAUAAAUGCAGAAUGAUGGUCCAUGCCAGAUGCUAUGGAGAAUUAGAACCUGUUGAUGGUGUGCUAUGGUUGUGCAACUUUUGCCGUCCUGGGGCUCCUGAUUCCCCACCACCCUGCUGCCUUUGUCCUGUUAUUGGUGGUGCUAUGAAGCCUACGACUGAUGGGCGCUGGGCUCAUUUGGCUUGUGCCAUCUGGAUACCUGAAACUUGCUUGUCUGAUGUCAAGAGAAUGGAGCCUAUUGAUGGCUUGAAUAGGAUCAAUAAGGAUCGUUGGAAACUCUUAUGUAGCAUUUGUGGUGUAGCUUAUGGAGCCUGCAUUCAAUGUUCGAAUAAUACUUGUCGGGUGGCAUAUCAUCCUCUUUGUGCACGGGCAGCUGGCCUUUGUGUUGAGCUUGAGGAUGAGGAUAGACUCCACCUCCUUGCUGUAGAUGACGAUGAAGAGGAUCAGUGCAUUCGCCUUCUUUCCUUCUGCAAGAAGCACAGACAGCCAUCUAAUGAGCGUCCAGUUAUAGAUGAACGGAUUGGUCGAGUUACUCGCCGAUGUUCUGACUAUGUCCCUCCAUGUAAUCCAUCUGGCUGUGCUCGUACCGAGCCUUACAAUUAUUUUGGAAGAAGAGGGCGGAAAGAACCAGAAGCCCUUGCUGCUGCAUCCUUGAAGCGCUUGUUUGUUGAGAAUCAACCUUACUUGGUUGGAGGUUGCUGUCAACAUCAAUCAUCGGGCAGUACACUACCUUCAAAUGGAGUCGUAGGCGCCAGAUUCUCUUCUAACCUUCAGAAAAUAAAAGCCUCACAGCUUGAUGCUCCUAACAACAUUCUCUCUAUGGCUGAAAAGUAUAAUUACAUGUGGCAGACCUUCCGGAAGAGAUUAGCUUUUGGCAAAUCAGGAAUUCAUGGAUUUGGCAUCUUUGCAAAGCAUCCACAUAGGGCAGGGGACAUGGUUAUUGAAUACACUGGUGAACUUGUCAGGCCUCCUAUAGCUGACAGGAGGGAACACUUCAUAUACAAUUCAUUGGUGGGUGCUGGAACUUACAUGUUUCGCAUUAAUGAUGAAAGAGUCAUUGAUGCAACAAGGGCAGGAAGCAUUGCUCAUCUGAUUAAUCACUCAUGCGAGCCCAAUUGCUAUUCAAGAGUAAUAACUGUUAAUGGUGAUGAACAUAUAAUUAUAUUUGCAAAGAGAGAUAUCAAAAGAUGGGAAGAACUCACAUAUGAUUAUAGGUUUUUCUCGAUUGAUGAACAACUUGCAUGCUAUUGUGGCUUCCCACGAUGUCGUGGUGUGGUUAAUGACAUUGAAGCUGAGGAGCAAGUGGCAAAGCUCUAUGCUCCUUGCAGUGAAUUGAUAGACUGGAACAGAGAAUAAAAAAAAAUAAAUGAAACGUUAUACAACUUGGCAAAUUCAUUGAACUCGUCACAUAUUGGCAGAUUGUUUUUCUACUCAAACAACAAAUUGUUUACUUGAUCUCAAUGCCAGAUUGGCCAGUUCUUUUAUCCUAUAGAGGUGGAGAAACUAUGAGCAAGGUCUCAUCUAAUUACCAAUUCUGAUUUAGUUAGUAGUUAGUGCAGAUGCUACUUCAUAAAUGCAAGUGCAGUAAGUACGGAUGAUCUGCAUUCUGAAAGAAAUUGGAAAACUUCAGAAAUGUGAAAUUGCAGAACUUCUUGUUCAAAGGCAUUUUUGGGUCAUUUUGCUAAGUUAACAGGGAUGAGAAUAUGAUGAAUAUUAGCUUCAUUCAACUUUAGCUGGAUAAAAUUAUUUGAUGAUAGACAGUAAAUAUAUGGAUAAUUUCAUAACUACAAACUGACUACAGAAAUAAAUUUAUUAUUAUUAUUAUUAUUAUUAUUAUUAUUAUUAUUAUAUGGCAUGUAAUAUAUUUAUGUUGCAAGAAUUGGAGUGUCUGUAAAUGAUAUGGACAUGUGUGUUCCCUUUUGAUUCUAUUAUUCAAAGAAAAGAUUUCUAUGUUUUUUCA